This 74-nucleotide transfer RNA is filed under the name Triticum dicoccoides. RNAcentral's name for it is "tRNA tRNA-Ile". It matches the Rfam family "tRNA". From Rfam's summary of the family: Transfer RNA (tRNA) molecules are approximately 80 nucleotides in length. Their secondary structure includes four short double-helical elements and three loops (D, anti-codon, and T loops). Further hydrogen bonds mediate the characteristic L-shaped molecular structure. tRNAs have two regions of fundamental functional importance: the anti-codon, which is responsible for specific mRNA codon recognition, and the 3' end, to which the tRNAs corresponding amino acid is attached (by aminoacyl-tRNA synthetases). tRNAs cope with the degeneracy of the genetic code in two manners: having more than one tRNA (with a specific anti-codon) for a particular amino acid; and 'wobble' base-pairing, i.e. permitting non-standard base-pairing at the 3rd anti-codon position. Lineage: Eukaryota; Viridiplantae; Streptophyta; Magnoliopsida; Poales; Poaceae. The record is from RNAcentral.
GGCCCAUUAGCUCAGUUGGUUAGAGCGUGGUGCUAAUAACGCCAAGGUCGCAGGUUCGGGACCUGCAUGGGCCA